UGGUCCUCAAGAAUGGUUUGGUAGUCCUUGGCAGUGACGCGCACAUCUAGCACAAGUAUUGGACCAAGGGAAUGCUUUGACCAGAUUCCAGGAAGGUUGGAGACAUAGAAUAAGAGUAGACUAUGUUCUCUGCCUUUAUUGUCCAUGCUGUCGCCUGUAGCUGUAGCCGUAAGGUCUGCAGUGCCUGUAAUGGUGGUUAUCCCCGAACCCAGUGGUGGACACUGGCAGUAAGGGAUGGCAUCAAGCUGAAGAAAGGAAUCUGCUGUGGUUAGCUCGUGGGACACCUGAGGCAUUUGAUGAGUACUGUGAGGCCAAGCGUGCCACGGCCCAGGUGGUAGGAGUGGCAAAAACACCAGCAUUCAGUGAGUCCAUGGAGAAGGACUACCAGUCGGCAGACCUAGCGCCUAAGGGUGGACCAGCACUAAGAUGGACCUUGUUGCAGGUGCAUGUUGGACUCCGGCAGGGUUCCUGUUUGUCACCAGUCCUGUUCAUAAGUUUCAUGGACAGGAUUUCUAGGCACAACCAAGGACCGGAGGGGCUCUGGUUUAGGGACAAGUGGAUUUUGUUUCUUCUUUUGCAGAUGACAUGGUCCUGCUAGCUCCCUCUGGCCAAGACCUACACCACCGGGGUUCCCGUCCUCUGGUGGGCCUUUGGAUGUCUGUGGCUCAGAUCUCCUCUAUGUCUGUCUCGGGUCCAUGGGGGCAGGUCUGUGGCUCCUUACACCAGCUUUUGCAUAUUUUUAUAAACCCACAGGUGUUUGCAUUUAGGGAGGCCAUUUAGCAAAAUAAGCCUUUGACUAAGCAUUUUGUAAAUUCAAACCCUGUAGUAAAACUUUAUGUAACACUAAGCUCUGUCAGGAUCUGGAGUCAUCUGCUGCCUGCUGCUAACACCUUUCCAAUACUAGGUGCCGCCAGUAGGAGAGUCCUGAGGCGACAGGUGUUGCGCUUCCAUUCAUCAGCUGGGAAGCAUAAAGAGGAUGGUUGCCAACACUUCGUCGCCUGAGUGUUUUGCCUCCGUGGUGCGAUUUCUGCCUGACCUGUCCCAGUCCUCCGUUGUGGUACUGACUACUUCCUGGAAUUGGACUGAACCUGGCAAGCGGGACUUCUUUCCUGACACUUAUCCUCUCCUUGGCGGUUUCCCCGGAUUCUCUAUGACGGGAGAUUAGAUUCGCCGCUUUUGUUGUGCUUGAC
This is a long non-coding RNA of Girardinichthys multiradiatus, 1190 nucleotides long. RefSeq lists it as uncharacterized. The transcript has 3 exons. The record is from RefSeq and is a predicted model, not a curated record. NCBI's taxonomy places the organism in Eukaryota, Metazoa, Chordata, Actinopteri, Cyprinodontiformes, Goodeidae.